This 468-nucleotide ribosomal RNA is filed under the name uncultured crenarchaeote. RNAcentral's name for it is "bacterial SSU rRNA". It matches the Rfam family "Archaeal small subunit ribosomal RNA", at positions 17 to 465 of the family's 1478-position model. Lineage: Archaea; Thermoproteati; Thermoproteota. The record is from RNAcentral.
CCGGACCCGACCGCUAUCGGGGUGGGGCUAAGCCAUGGGAGUCGUACGCUCCCGGGCAAGGGAGCGUGGCGGACGGCUGAGUAACACGUGGCUAACCUACCCUGAGGAGGGAGAUAACCCCGGGAAACUGGGGAUAAUCUCCCAUAGGCGAGGAGUCCUGGAACGGUUCCUCGCUGAAAGGCUCAUGGGCUAUUCCCCGCUCAUGAGCGCCUCAGGAUGGGGCUGCGGCCCAUCAGGUAGUUGGGGGGGUAAGGGCCCCCCAAGCCUAUAACGGGUAGGGGCCGUGAGAGCGGGAGCCCCCAGUUGGGCACUGAGACAAGGGCCCAGGCCCUACGGGGCGCACCAGGCGCGAAACGUCCCCAAUGCGCGGAAGCGUGAGGGCGCCACCCCGAGUGCUCCCGUAAGGGAGCUUUUCCCCGCUCUACAAAGGCGGGGGAAUAAGCGGGGGGCAAGUCUGGUGUCAGCCGC